RNAcentral lists this ribosomal RNA (332 nucleotides) under uncultured eukaryote. RNAcentral describes it as "partial 18S ribosomal RNA". It matches the Rfam family "Eukaryotic small subunit ribosomal RNA", at positions 1470 to 1796 of the family's 1831-position model. The record is from RNAcentral.
CCCUUAGAUGUUCUGGGCUGCACACGUGCUACACUGGCAGGUUCAGCGAGCUUCAUGCCCUGAUCUGAAAGGAAUGGGAAAUCUUUUCAAAACCUGCCGUGCUUGGGAUAGAUGUUUGCAAUUAUUCAUCUUCAACGAGGAUUGCCUUGUAAGCGCACGUCAUCAGCGUGCAUUGAAUACGACCUUGUAUUCUGUACACACCGCCCGUCGCUCCUACCGAUUGAAGUUUUCGGUGAGUUGACAGGAGGAUUUUUUUGAAACUGGUUCGCCAGUGGAUUUUAGAUCCAAAUGCCAACGAAUCGAUGGCUUUAGAGGAAGGAGAAGUCGUAACA